AUGGGGAUGGAGCAUCUGAUGAGUGUCGUGAAUCCGUCAUCAGGUUACAUCUUACAAAGAGGUCUCGAACGCCGUGGUGAUGGGACGAUGGAGGAAAAGAAAGAGCUACAGAAGCAGAGGACAGAAAAAAUGAUGGAAGCCUACCAAAACACAGAAAGCAGGGAUGGAGUGAUCAGAUGUCCAAUUCCAUGCAAAAGCAGCAGACCGUACAGGGAGUAUGAUUUUAAAAGUGCACAAGAUCUCUCUGAUUUUAUGGUGAGCAAGGCUUCUCCUCCAUACUUCAUGGGAUCUCCACCAGUUCGUGCAAGCAAUCCCCUUGUCAAUGACAGGCAGUUCUGUGCUUGGAAAGUACAAAGCGUUGAUGAGUCACUCGGCAUUCCUAUACCAACCAGGGGCUACCGCGUUGGCUACAACAAAAGGGGAGGGGCUGCUACAGAGGAUUGA
This 444-nucleotide ribosomal RNA is filed under the name Triticum aestivum (bread wheat). RNAcentral's name for it is "partial small subunit ribosomal RNA". The record is from RNAcentral. Lineage: Eukaryota; Viridiplantae; Streptophyta; Magnoliopsida; Poales; Poaceae.